UCCUUGUUGCCCUUAUUGGCCAUCCCUGUGCCUGGGACACCGUCCCCAGAGUCACAUGGGUCUCUCCUCCCUUCCGUAGGGUCUCUGCCCAAGUGGCACUGCAUCAGGGAAGCUCAGUCUAUGCCGAAUAGUAAUCCUUACCCCUUCUCACUCCCUGAGUUUCCCCCGAUGACUUAUCACACGGGUGAUCUUAGAACACUGCUUCUCAAGCGUGGACCACCAACACCAGCAGCAUAGGCAUCACCCGGGAGCAUGAUGGAAAUACAAAUUUGAGGGCCUUUCUCCAGAUCUACCAAAUCAGCAUCUGGGGUUGAGUCCAGCAAGCCGUGUUCGCCAGCCCUGCAGUGAUUCCGAUGAUCUUCAAAGUUCAGACCCACUGCAGUGGACUUUACCCAUACUGGAUCACUUCAUCCUCCUCUCACCCUAUGAGGAAAGGAAACUCAGAGAACAUCCACCAGGGCUGGUGGAGUCAAAUGCCCCGUGGGUAAGAACCUGGUGUGAGGGGUGGGGCCUGAGGCGAACCACCCAGUGCUUGCCUGGAUUACAGACCUUUAAAUUCCAUUAGACAAGACAACACUGUCUGGGUCACACAAAACAUGCCCAGGGUCAGGGUCCGGCCACGCGUUGCCGGCCUGCAGCCACUGAGCCUUGCCCAAACUGCUCAUUCCACUCAAGGGGAACGUAAGGUCGCGGGGUUACUUGGCAGCAGCAAGAGCAAGCGGGUGUUCCAAGCCCGGGGCUCGCUGGGCUUUACUACGUGGCCUCUGGACAACACAUGUCCCCUGGAUUGCUUCUGGUUUAUUUUUAAAUGGAGAUUGCAAUAAAAGCAAAGAUCAAACUUGA
Molecule: long non-coding RNA, 843 nt
Organism: Canis lupus familiaris (dog)
Lineage: Eukaryota; Metazoa; Chordata; Mammalia; Carnivora; Canidae
Exons: 2
Source: RefSeq, a predicted model, not a curated record